Molecule: long non-coding RNA, 1797 nt
Organism: Pan paniscus (pygmy chimpanzee)
Lineage: Eukaryota; Metazoa; Chordata; Mammalia; Primates; Hominidae
Source: Ensembl
CUAGGUAAUUUAUAAAGAAUAGAAAUUUAUAUCUCACAAUUAUGGAGUCUAAGAAUUCUGGAGUCCAAGGAAGUCCAAGAUCAAGGCGCCAGCAGAUUUGGUGUCUGGUGAAGGCUGCUCUCCGCUUCCAAGAUGGUGCCUUGAUGUUGCAUCUUCUGAAGGAGAGGAACACUGUGUCCUCACAUGGCAGACAGUAGGAGAGUAAGACGCUUUAACCUCACUCAUGACGGGGGAGUCUUCAUGGUCUAAUCACCUCUUUCAGGUCCCAUCUCUUAAUACUAUCACAUUGGCCAUUAAGUUUCAAUACCUGAAUUUUGGAUGGGACACAUUCAAACUAUAGCAGUGCCCAUUGGCAUUUCUGGAUUGCCAGCCUCUUUAACUCCAAAUCUGAGAAAAUGAGGCACAAAGAGAGCCCAUGGAACUCAUAACCAUAUGAGUUAUGGUACAUUUCUAAAUGUACAUUUCUGCUUCUGGGCUCUACUCUAUUGCAGUUAUCUAUUUGUCUAUUGCUGUGCCAAUAUCAUAGUGUCUUUUUACAUUAGCUUUAUAAUACAGCAACAAUUGAUAGUGCAAAUCCUCCUUUUUCAAGAAUACCUUGACUGUAUUUGGCCCUUUGCAUUUCUGAAUAACUUUUAAAUCAGCUCAUCAAAGUCAACAAAAAAUAUGUUGGAAUUUUGACUGGUAGAGCAUUGAAUCUAUAAAGCUUUUAAUAUCAAAACAUGCAGUGUUUGGUUUUUUGUCCUUGCGAUAGUUUGCCAAGAAUGAUGGUUUCCAGCUUCAUCCAUGUCCCUACAAAGGACAUGAACUCAUCCUUUUUUAUGGCUGCAUAGUAUUCCAUGGUAUAUAUUAUUAUUAUUAUUAUUAUUAUUAUGAUGAUGAAGAGAAUGUACUUACCUCAAUUAUCUCUUUUUUUAAUCUUUUUUAAGGUAAUCAUAGCCUCCUGGUAUUGCACAUUCAUGGGAAUAAUGAAUUUAUUUGGACUAGAAACUAAGACCUGUUGGAAUGUCACCAGAAUAGAACCUCUUAAUGAAGUUCAAAGCUGUGAAGUGGGACUCAACUGGGAGGUCUUAUUACAGUACUGUGCUUCUUUUUCAACCAUGGAGAGGUUUGUUUUCUAGAAAGCAAUUUUUAAGAAAUAGAAGAGGCUGUAGAGGAACAAGGAAAUAUACUCAUCAAAACAAUAUUUAAUUGUAUACUACUUAUGACUUCACAAUAUAUUAAAGACCCUUGUGUUAUAAGUUGAUAUUUUAAGCAUGUUGAUUGAAAUGUUUAAAUAGCCAGAAUUUCAAACAUGAAAUCUCUUGCCUUAUUUUUAGUAAAUAUAUACAUAUACAUAUAUUCUGUAGAGAAAAGGAAAUAUUGUACUUGUUGAGUUGAAUCGUAUCAUGCACAUUAUCUGAUUUAUUCCCACUAAACUUUUUUGUGGGUGGUGGUAGCCUCACCAUACAAGUUAUGAAAUUUAAAUUUAGAGAAAGUUAAGUUACUUAUCCACAUUCCACAUUUACUACAUGAUGAAGCUGGAUUUCCCAUUCUAUAUCUGUCUGCCUCUAAAACCUCACAUAUAUAUUAAUUUAUAUUUUAUAAAUUAUAAAAUUAUAGUUAUAUUUUAUAAAAACUUAUAUAUUAUAUAUAUAACAUAUAUAUUCAACUUUUUUAUUGUGGUCAGAAUAAGUAACAUAUGAUCUGCCCUCUUAAUAGAUUUUUAAGUGUACAAUAUAGUAUUAACACAAUGUUGUAUAGCAGAUCUCCAGAACUUAUUCAUCUUGCCUAACUGAAACUUCGUAUACAUUGCACUCC